RNAcentral lists this transfer RNA (67 nucleotides) under Marmota monax (woodchuck). Its description in RNAcentral is "tRNA.Ala". The record is from RNAcentral. Lineage: Eukaryota; Metazoa; Chordata; Mammalia; Rodentia; Sciuridae.
GGUUGUGGCUCAGUGGUAGAGUGCUUGCCUAGCAUGUGAGAAGCCCUGGGUUCAGUCCUCAGAACCA